Molecule: ribosomal RNA, 510 nt
Filed under: uncultured bacterium
Lineage: Bacteria
Description: partial 16S ribosomal RNA
Rfam family: Bacterial small subunit ribosomal RNA
Source: RNAcentral
GACGAACGCUGGCGGCGUGCCUAAUACAUGCAAGUCGAGCGAAUGACGAGAAGCUUGCUUCUCUGAUUUAGCGGCGGACGGGUGAGUAACACGUGGGCAACCUGCCCUACAGAUCGGGAUAACUCAGGGAAACCUGGGCUAAUACCGGAUAAUCCUUCGAAUCACAUGUUUUGAAGUUGAAAGGCGCUUCGGCGUCACUGUAGGAUGGGCCCGCGGUGCAUUAGCUAGUUGGUGGGGUAACGGCCUACCAAGGCAACGAUGCAUAGCCGACCUGGUAGGGUGGUCGGCCAGACUGCUACUGCGAAACGGCCAGAACUCCGAAGGGAGGCAGGAGUAGAGAAUCGUACACAAUGGGCGAGAGUCUGAUAGAGCAACGCCGCGUUAGUGAUGAAGGUUUACGGAUCGUAAAACGCUGUUGUAAGGGAAGAACAAGUACGUUAGGAAAUGAACGUACCUUGACGGUACCUUAUUAGCAAGCCACGGCUAACUACGUGCCAGCCGCCGCGGUAA